Molecule: ribosomal RNA, 491 nt
Filed under: uncultured bacterium
Lineage: Bacteria
Description: partial 16S ribosomal RNA
Rfam family: Bacterial small subunit ribosomal RNA
Source: RNAcentral
GUGAACGCUGGCGGUAGGCCUAACACAUGCAAGUCGAACGGCAGCACAGUAAGAGCUUGCUCUUACGGGUGGCGAGUGGCGGACGGGUGAGGAAUACAUCGGAAUCUACUUUUUCGUGGGGGAUAACGUAGGGAAACUUACGCUAAUACCGCAUACGACCUACGGGUGAAAGCAGGGGAUCUUCGGACCUUGCGCGAUUGAAUGAGCCGAUGUCGGAUUAGCUAGUUGGCGGGGUAAAGGCCCACCAAGGCGACGAUCCGUAGCUGGUCUGAGAGGAUGAUCAGCCACACUGGAACUGAGACACGGUCAAGAAUCCUACGGGAGGCAGCAGUGGGGAAUAUUGGACAAUGGGCGCAAGCCUGAUCCAGCCAUCCCGCGUGGGUGAAGAAGGCCUUCGGGUUGUAAAGCCCUUUUGUUGGGAAAGAAAAGCAGCAGGUUAAUACCCCGCUGUUCUGACGGUACCCAAAGAAUAAGCACCGGCUAACUUCGUG